RNAcentral lists this microRNA precursor (61 nucleotides) under Pteropus alecto (black flying fox). Its description in RNAcentral is "microRNA pal-mir-9998 precursor". The record is from miRBase by way of RNAcentral. Lineage: Eukaryota; Metazoa; Chordata; Mammalia; Chiroptera; Pteropodidae.
ACACAGGAUGGUAGGCAGAUAGCUGACCUCCCACCCAGGGCCCUGCCUCCUACCUGUGCUA